CAAUCCUGACUGAUAUUUACUCUCUUGUCACCCUGGACAAGUCAGGGAGCCUCAGUUUUCUCUGCCCUAGGAAGGUGUUGCCUAUUGACAGAGAUGAGACAUUCAAGAUCAGAAGGAGACAUGAGCAAUAUGGGAUUUGACUACGCCUGCUUUUUUCCUCAGAUCUAUAGCCAAGCUCCUGCCAUACUGUGAGGUCAUGUUGCAGAUACGGAGACUGAGAUUCAGAGUUGAAGUAAU
Molecule: long non-coding RNA, 237 nt
Filed under: Monodelphis domestica (gray short-tailed opossum)
Lineage: Eukaryota; Metazoa; Chordata; Mammalia; Didelphimorphia; Didelphidae
Description: lncRNA (ENSMODG00000046150.1)
Source: RNAcentral